Molecule: ribosomal RNA, 962 nt
Filed under: uncultured bacterium
Lineage: Bacteria
Description: bacterial SSU rRNA
Rfam family: Bacterial small subunit ribosomal RNA
Source: RNAcentral
CCUGGCUCAGGAUGAACGCUAGCUACAGGCUUAACACAUGCAAGUCGAGGGGCAGCAUGGUCUUAGCUUGCUAAGGCUGAUGGCGACCGGCGCACGGGUGAGUAACACGUAUCCAACCUGCCGUCUACUCUUGGCCAGCCUUCUGAAAGGAAGAUUAAUCCAGGAUGGCAUCAUGAGUUCACAUGUCCGCAUGAUUAAAGGUAUUUUCCGGUAGACGAUGGGGAUGCGUUCCAUUAGAUAGUAGGCGGGGUAACGGCCCACCUAGUCAACGAUGGAUAGGGGUUCUGAGAGGAAGGUCCCCCACAUUGGAACUGAGACACGGUCCAAACUCCUACGGGAGGCAGCAGUGAGGAAUAUUGGUCAAUGGGCGAUGGCCUGAACCAGCCAAGUAGCGUGAAGGAUGACUGCCCUAUGGGUUGUAAACUUCUUUUAUAAAGGAAUAAAGUCGGGUAUGCAUACCCGUUUGCAUGUACUUUAUGAAUAAGGAUCGGCUAACUCCGUGCCAGCAGCCGCGGUAAUACGGAGGAUCCGAGCGUUAUCCGGAUUUAUUGGGUUUAAAGGGAGCGUAGAUGGAUGUUUAAGUCAGUUGUGAAAGUUUGCGGCUCAACCGUAAAAUUGCAGUUGAUACUGGAUGUCUUGAGUGCAGUUGAGGCAGGCGGAAUUCGUGGUGUAGCGGUGAAAUGCUUAGAUAUCACGAAGAACUCCGAUUGCGAAGGCAGCCUGCUAAGCUGCAACUGACAUUGAGGCUCGAAAGUGUGGGUAUCAAACAGGAUUAGAUACCCUGGUAGUCCACACGGUAAACGAUGAAUACUCGCUGUUUGCGAUAUACGGCAAGCGGCCAAGCGAAAGCGUUAAGUAUUCCACCUGGGGAGUACGCCGGCAACGGUGAAACUCAAAGGAAUUGACGGGGGCCCGCACAAGCGGAGGAACAUGUGGUUUAAUUCGAUGAUACGCGAGGAACA